RNAcentral lists this ribosomal RNA (119 nucleotides) under Triticum dicoccoides. Lineage: Eukaryota; Viridiplantae; Streptophyta; Magnoliopsida; Poales; Poaceae. The record is from RNAcentral.
AGAUGCGAUCAUACCAGCACUAAAGCACCGGAUCCCAUCAGAACUCCGAAGUUAAGCGUGCUUGGGCGAGAGUAGUACUAGGAUGGGUGACCUCCUGGGAAGUCCUCAUGUUGCAUUCC